RNAcentral lists this unclassified non-coding RNA (1200 nucleotides) under Hevea brasiliensis (rubber tree). The record is from RNAcentral. Lineage: Eukaryota; Viridiplantae; Streptophyta; Magnoliopsida; Malpighiales; Euphorbiaceae.
UUUCUGGCUUAGUUGAUGAUAUUGUACAUUGUACUGAACUUGAGCUUGUACCAGCUGCUGUUGAUGCUUCCCUCCAGACGAUUGCUCAUGUUUCUGUGUCCUCUGAAUUUCAGGAUAACUUACUUAAGGCUGGUGUUUUGUGGUACCUGUUGCCACUGUUGUUUCAAUAUGAUUCUACUGCAGAAGACACAGACAAAUCUGAAGCUCAUGGUGUUGGUGUUAGUGUUCAAAUUGCAAAGAAUAUGCAUGCUGUACGGUCAGCUCAGGCUUUGGCAAGACUCAGUGGUUUGGGUACGGAUGAGAAUCAGACACCAUAUAAUAAGGUUGCAGCUGAUGCGCUUAGCGCAUUGCUGACACCAAAGCUUGCCAGUAUGCUGAAAGAUAAAUCUCUCAAAGACUUGUUAUCCAAACUAAAUUUGAACCUGGAGAUCCCAGAGAUAAUUUGGAACACUUCAACCCGCGCAGAACUGUUAAAGUAUGUUGACAAGCAGCGUGAUAGCCAGAGUCCUGAUGGUUCAUAUGACCUAAAAGAUUUGCAUUCCUUCACAUAUGAAGCAUUGGCUAAGGAACUUUUUGUUGGAAAUGUAUACUUGAGAGUGUACAAUGACCAACCAGAUUAUGAAACUAGUGAACCUGAGGUCUUUUGUGUAGCUCUUGUUGAUUUUAUAUCAUGUCUGGUACGGAGUGAUGCUGCAGUGGGAACAGAUACUCCUUCAAUCACUGGGACAUCAGAGUUCCAAAAUGAUACGAUUAAUGAACCACAUAAUGAAGAGCAGUUAUCUAAUGAUGAUUCAACUUCUUCAGAUGUGAAACAGAUGAAGAAAGAGGAAAAUGAAUUGGUUAAUAAAUUUCGCUUUGCUCUAACCGCACUCCAGAAUCUCCUGACAAGCAACCCAGAUUUGGCAUCAGUUUUUUCUGCGAAAGAAAAAUUGUUACCAAUUUUUGAAUGCUUUGCUGUUCCUGUUGCUUCAACAACCAAUGUUCCUCAACUGUGUUUAAGUGUCCUGUCACGCUUGACAACACACGCUCCUUGCUUGGAUGCAAUUGUGUCUGAUGGAUCCAGUCUGCUUCUUCUAUUGCAAAUGCUUCACUCCUCUCCUAGCUGUCGCGAAGGAGCUCUCCAUGUUCUGUAUGCUUUAGCUAGCACACCAGAGCUUGCAUGGGCAGCUGCUAAACAUGGUGGAGUGGUCUACAUUCUCG